UGGUGGAGUGAUUUGUCUGGUUAAUUCCGUUAACGAACGAGACCUUAACCUAUUAAUUAGUUACGCGAACUUGGGCUUCGGCCCUUCCGGUUCGUGGACAACUUCUUAGAGGGACUCUCGGCAUCUUUAGCCGAUGGAAGUUUGAGGCAAAAACA
RNAcentral lists this ribosomal RNA (155 nucleotides) under uncultured eukaryote. Its description in RNAcentral is "partial 18S ribosomal RNA". It matches the Rfam family "Eukaryotic small subunit ribosomal RNA", at positions 1299 to 1458 of the family's 1831-position model. The record is from RNAcentral.